This 298-nucleotide ribosomal RNA is filed under the name uncultured bacterium. RNAcentral's name for it is "partial 16S ribosomal RNA". It matches the Rfam family "Bacterial small subunit ribosomal RNA", at positions 28 to 327 of the family's 1533-position model. The record is from RNAcentral.
GACGAACGCUGGCGGCGUGCUUAACACAUGCAAGUCGAGCGGUAAGGCCCUUUCGGGGGUACACGAGCGGCGAACGGGUGAGUAACACGUGGGCGACCUACCCUCAGCUUCGGGAUAAGCCUGGGAAACUGGGGUCUAAUACCGGAUAUGACCUUCCCUCGCAUGGGGGUUGGUGGAAAGUUUUUUCGGCUGGGGAUGGGCCCGCGGCCUAUCAGCUUGUUGGUGGGGUGAUGGCCUACCAAGGCGACGACGGGUAGCCGGCCUGAGAGGGCGACCGGCCACACUGGGACUGAGAUAC